GACGAACGCUGGCGGCGUGCUUAACACAUGCAAGUCGAACGGUAAGGCCCUUCGGGGUACACGAGUGGCGAACGGGUGAGUAACACGUGGGUGAUCUGCCCUGCACUUCGGGAUAAGCCUGGGAAACUGGGUCUAAUACCGGACAGGACCCUGGGAUGCAUGUCCUGGGGUGGAAAGCUUUUGCGGUGUGGGAUGGGCCCGCGGCCUAGCAGCUUGGUGGUGGGGUGAUGGCCUACCAAGGCGACGACGGGUAGCCGGCCUGAGAGGGUGACCGGCCACACUGGGACUGAGAUACGGCCCAGACUCCUACGGGAGGCAGCAGUGGGGAAUAUUGCACAAUAGGCGCAAGCCUGAUGCAGCGACGCCGCGUGAGGGAUGACGGCCUUCGGGUUGUAAACCUCUUUCAGCACCGACGAAGCGCAAGUGACGGUAGGUGCAGAAGAAGGACCGGCCAACUACGUGCCAGCCGCCGCUGUAA
RNAcentral lists this ribosomal RNA (478 nucleotides) under uncultured bacterium. RNAcentral's name for it is "partial 16S ribosomal RNA". It matches the Rfam family "Bacterial small subunit ribosomal RNA", at positions 28 to 523 of the family's 1533-position model. The record is from RNAcentral.